AAGUGAUGAUGUUGAAGGGCGUGCCAAGAUGCGUUGUUCAACGGAGCUUUCAGGAGGGGUUGCACAGUGAAACCUCAACUUGGCUAAAGCAUUUGCUGAAAGAAAAUGUGCGUA
RNAcentral lists this non-coding RNA (114 nucleotides) under unclassified sequences. RNAcentral's name for it is "drum RNA". It matches the Rfam family "drum RNA". Rfam says of the family: Firmicutes, Bacteroidetes (1 example), Proteobacteria (2 examples), Spirochaetes (2 examples). The record is from Rfam by way of RNAcentral.